This 253-nucleotide ribosomal RNA is filed under the name uncultured bacterium. RNAcentral's name for it is "partial 16S ribosomal RNA". It matches the Rfam family "Bacterial small subunit ribosomal RNA", at positions 524 to 776 of the family's 1533-position model. The record is from RNAcentral.
UACGUAGGCAGCGAGCGUUGUUCGGAGUUACUGGGCGUAAAGAGUGCGUAGGCGGUUUUCUAAGUUUGGUGUGAAAUCUCCCGGCUUAACUGGGAGGGUGCGCCGAAGACUGGAAGGCUUGAGUAUGGGAGAGGUAAGCGGAAUUCCUGGUGUAGCGGUGAAAUGCGCAGAUAUCAGGAAGAACACCAAUGGCGAAAGCAGCUCUCUGGGACGGUACUGACGCUGAGACGCGAAAGCGUGGGGAGCGAACAGG